AUAGAAUAACAGUGCAAAGAUCAGAAGGAAGGAUUUGAUUUUGCCUUAUAAUUUGAUGAAGUUUACGUAUUUCUAUAAUUUACAGAUAACAGGACGCUAAACUAUUCAUAAGCACUUAAUUCCAGUGUGACCUUUAACCUGCUUCCAAUGCUGGCUCUGUUAUUUGAAUGAUCUUUACGCUCGCCAUUUCAGGUUAUAUCUAUCUUUGUCAUAGCUUAUAUAAAUACAUAUUUUUUUUUACAACAAAGGAGACACCUCAAGGGCACAAAAAAGAGGAAACAAUAAUAAUAAAAAAGCCCUCUACUCGCUGCUCCUAAAAAGAAUCCAAAGAAGUGUCCGAAAGAGGGGAAAGAGGAGUAGGCUAUUUAGCUCAAAAUAUUUGCCAAAUACAUCACGGAAGAACUAUAUAUAUACUGACAUUAACAGACCCAAGUACGUCAUAACUACCGAACGAGGAUAUAUUCGAAACUUCCUAGGAAAAUGGAACAGUUUCAUUCUUCGUUUCGAGCAUGGUAACCCAGCAGUGAUGGUAGACUUAGUGCUUUAUCGGUGUAUAGCAAGUGUCAUGAACUAACUCCUCCUCCACAGGUAUACAGGUAACUCAAUAAAAAAGCUCAGUUAAAUUACAUGGCUGAGGAAGCUGCUUUAUUUCUCUCGUGUCAGUCAUGGUACCUAAAAUAACAGUGGCAACAGAUACAGCAACCCAGUCCCGUUGAGAGAAGUAGUGUCUUAUUAGUGUACGAAGGUGUUGGGCGCCUGUUAGGGCCUCUCAGCUGAAGGUAAAGGUAACGUAAUUUUGGUGGUAAAUGCUAUAGCUGCGCGUGGCCUCGGUGCUCAUCUUCGUCCCAUUGACUCUUGAAAUGGAGCUUAAAACCCAGAUAAAUGUGUACGAUUGAGCUAACUGCUUUAUCAAUCUCAUUUCAUGGAUGUUAACGUAUUUAUAGUAGGCUAGUACAGGUAGAAUUACCCUCUUAAUUAAUUCAAGGCAGGUGUAAGGUGCUAUAAAAAUGUUACCCCUCCACCAGGUGUAUAUAAUGGACUAUGAAAGGUGAAAGAAAUGUAUAUGGGUUGUGUUUUUUGCGCCCUGCCUCCUCUAUGAAGCAAGGACGUGGGCUGAUAACUAUCUUGCCUAACCUCCCGUGCACCUGCCUUGGAGAUAAUAAAAAAGGAUGAGGGCUUCCUUUGUGUGCUUGUGUAAUGGGUGAUGUAUACUGUAUAUAUAUAGCCCGCUGCUACCUGUAUGAAGCAAGGUAGGGUGGUGGGUGAUAAGCCUAUCUAGCCUAGGAUUCCUGCACCUGCUUUAGGGGUAUACAAAAAGGUGAGAACUUCUUUUAUCCGUCCUUUUUGGUACGUAGUUAAGUUACAAGGAAUAGCAAGUGUGUUUCCCAUAGAAUUCUUGGGUAAAGGCAAAUGAAAAUGUUUAUAUAGGUUGAAAACGUAUAUUUAUAGAUUAAUUCAGGUUUGGUUUGGCAUGAUUUAGUUUGAUUCGAUUUCGUUCGGAUUGAUUUUGUUAGAAUGGUUUUGGGAUUAGUUAUGUCAGAGUAUUUCUUUUACUGUAAACCUCUCCUUUUCUCUUUCUUCAUAUAUCUCCCCUCGCUCUUCCUCAGUAACCUAUUCUGUUCUAGUUUUUUAUUAGUUCUCCCUUUCAACGAUAAGUAGAAGAAAACCAUUGUCUUUAUUGAGAUUCUUAUCGUGGAGAGAGAGAGAGAGAGAGAGAGAGAGAGAGAGAGAGAGAGAGAGAGAGAGAGAGAGAGAAUGUGUCCGAGAGAAAUAGCCUCAUCCAUAUCAUUCCACUGUCCCAACUUUAAUAUCCUCACCAGGAAGAAAAAUGCCGAUAAGAACAUGAACAAAGUUUCUUGACCGUGAGUACAAGAAAAAUAAAGCAAGAGAUCACGCACGGCAGCGGGUGAUAAGGCCCAAAUAAGAUGCUGAGGGCCGCCGAGCAGGUGUGCUGACGCGGAGAAAUAUGAGCAGGUGAUAAGAAGAUUGUGACUGAUUACGUGUGAUUGAUUGGGUUGUUGUUGUUGCUGUUGUUGUAGUAGUAGUAGUAGCAGUAGUAGUAGUAGUAGUAGUAGUGCUAAUAAUAGUAACGAUGAUAAGAUAAAAAAGUAAUAAUAAGAAAAUGCAGGAUAUGUACGUGUAUAUGUAUAGGGAAGACCAAUAUUCCAGAUUUUUUAUUUCAUUUAUUUUUUUUAUUUUUACUUCAUUAUUUUUUUUAUAUAUUCUCUCACCUGCCGCCUCACCUGCCCUCAAAGCCUCCCUCAUCUCCCUCUUUACAGGUGUGUGUGGCCUCUUCACUUACCUCCACCUCGUCGCUCCCUGACUCCCUCCACCGAGCAUCUGCAGCCCCUACCUACCUGCUUACCUGUUUCCCUUCAAGCCAGGCGAAGAUAGGUGACGUCUCGAGGGGUGACUAUUGCUGUUUGUGGUGAGAGUCGCGAGGUGAGUUGAAGGUAAAGUCAUCGCGUAGCAAAGUCAGAGGCACCACCAGCACCUCCUUGACCACCACCACCACUACCACCACCACCACUACCACCACCACCACCACAUGCUCCAAGAAUGUUAAAUAAGAAUGAUAUAUGAGUUUUCAUCUGGGCCACGUGAGAGUUACCUGACGGAGAAGGAGGAGGAGGGGGAGGAGGGAGAGAAAAAGAAGAAGAAAAAGCGAAGGGGAAAAAGAAUAAAAGAAAGAGAGGGAGGGAAAGGAGAAAAAGGGACGUAAAAGAGGAGAAAAGAAAGAAGGAGGAAAAGACCUCCCCAAAUGGUAUUAAUGAUGGUAAUGAUGACGAUGAUGACGCCAAGGGGACGCUCACACAUCACGUGGGAGGAACAAGUCGGUGGAUGGAUCCUGCUGGGAGGCCCUUCGUAUGGGAAAGGCGCCUGCAUGAAAACUUAAAUGACCUCUGG
This is a long non-coding RNA of Eriocheir sinensis (Chinese mitten crab), 2907 nucleotides long. RefSeq lists it as uncharacterized. The record is from RefSeq and is a predicted model, not a curated record. Lineage: Eukaryota; Metazoa; Arthropoda; Malacostraca; Decapoda; Varunidae. The transcript has 4 exons.